AUCUCUAGGUAAUAAAGACCUGCAUUACGAGAUCUGCUAUCUUUUCUCAAGAUUCUACACUCUUCAGGGUGACCCUCGCCUCGGUCUUCGUCAUAUUGUCAAGGCUGUCCAUCGGCACCCGGACCGUGCGGAAUUAUGGGAUCAGCUGGCGGCCUUUAUUGUACAAGUCUGUCCU
This is a long non-coding RNA of Nematostella vectensis (starlet sea anemone), 175 nucleotides long. RefSeq lists it as uncharacterized. The transcript has 3 exons. Lineage: Eukaryota; Metazoa; Cnidaria; Anthozoa; Actiniaria; Edwardsiidae. The record is from RefSeq and is a predicted model, not a curated record.